ACUGAGGAAAGAAAAACCAACCGGGAUUGCCUUAGUAACGGCGAGUGAAGCGGCAAAAGCUCAAAUUUGAAAUCUGGUACCUUCGGUGCCCGAGUUGUAAUUUGGAGAGGGCAACUUUGGGGCCGUUCCUUGUCUAUGUUCCUUGGAACAGGACGUCAUAGAGGGUGAGAAUCCCGUGUGGCGAGGAGUGCGGUUCUUUGUAAAGUGCCCUUCGAAGAGUCGAGUUGUUUGGGAAUGCAGCUCUAAGUGGGUGGUAAAUUCCAUCUAAAGCUAAAUAUUGGCGAGAGACCGAUAGCGAACAAGUACAGUGAUGGAAAGAUGAAAAGAACUUUGAAAAGAGAGUGAAAAAGUACGUGAAAUUGUUGAAAGGGAAGGGCAUUUGAUCAGACAUGGUGUUUUGUGCCCUCUGCUCCUUGUGGGUAGGGGAAUCUCGCAUUUCACUGGGCCAGCAUCAGUUUUGGUGGCAGGAUAAAUCCAUAGGAAUGUAGCUUGCCUCGGUAAGUAUUAUAGCCUGUGGGAAUACUGCCAGCUGGGACUGAGGACUGCGACGUAAGUCAAGGAUGCUGGCA
RNAcentral lists this ribosomal RNA (569 nucleotides) under Saccharomyces cerevisiae (brewer's yeast). RNAcentral's name for it is "eukaryotic LSU rRNA". It matches the Rfam family "Eukaryotic large subunit ribosomal RNA", at positions 50 to 631 of the family's 3401-position model. Lineage: Eukaryota; Fungi; Ascomycota; Saccharomycetes; Saccharomycetales; Saccharomycetaceae. The record is from RNAcentral.